CCAUGCCCAGCUUUGCAUCUUAAUUCUCUUUAAAAAAAGAAUGUAAGCUAUACAUUCUUGUUCUUUAUUUUUUGAAUCAAGAAAUUGAAGUACUGAAAGACCACAGAUAAAAUAUUGAUACCCUUCUUUAAGGAUUGUAAUAUACUAAACAAGUUCUUAAUAUGCUAUUGAGGCACUGAGGAAAUACACAGACCACAACAGCUACAUGCAGUCAUGAUGGACAGGACUGCUCAAUACCCAUAGAGCCUCAAUUGUGAACUGAUUAUACUAAAUAGACGGGACUUAGGGUUGUCUCAAGGUGAGUAUAUACUAUCUGAGGAAACAGGGUACACAUGAAUAUUUAUCAUCAGAAAGGUAAUUUUUGCAGAAAUUUUGUGCUGUUUACCAUCACAUUUGUUCUCCACUUUUUCUUGUUCACAGAGGUAGAUAUUUUCUAUUACUAACUUCUCUUGUUUUUUUUGUGUGUGGACAUUUCUUGAGUUCUAGCCAAUGAAAUGUGAGCACAGUUAACACACUACUUCUAGGCUUGGCUCAUUAAAAACUCCUAAGUACGCUCCUCUAAGCUCUAUUUGUUUCCUGUCUAGUGUGAUGAAGAGGACUGCCAGGGAAGCCUUGGAUGACACAAGGUGAAGAUGGCAGAAUGUCUGCUGGCCAUUUGGAAGAAGAUUGCUCUACUGACCUUUUUACUCUUGUGAGCAAGAAAUAAGCCAUUAAUAUGUUUGUGCUAUUACAUAUUUUGAGUCCAUUUGUUUUAGCAGUUAUUGGAUCUUGCCUAAUAAAACAAGACUAUUGAAGAGGGAGCAGUAAACACAGGGUAACAGCUAUCCACAAGACACACUUUUAAGUUUAAUGCACAUGAUUAACAUUUUUUCAAUCAUUUUUUAAAGUCAAGACAAUCAACAAAACAAUAAAUCAAGCCUUUUUUUUGGUAAUGUGAGUACUCCCAACAUGGUUGAUUUGAAGCUUCUAGUGUAGGAGGAGACGUGCUAGCAUCAUUAUAUGGUAGCCCCAUUGUACAGGUAAGACAAAUAUAUUAAUAAAUAACCUUGAGUGUAUAAAAUAAUAAAAUAAUAAGAAAGUGAUAUGUCUCAGGUGGCUUUACUGGCCCGAGGCAGUAAUUAGAUUACUUGCAUCUAAUUUGUAAUAUUUCUAUAACACACUGUUGGAGUACACGAAAAAUAUAAUCUCCAGAAUUUAUUUCUCUCUACUAGCAUUUCAGUGUAUGUUUGUUAUAUAAUUUUGUAAAAGUUUCCAGCAAACAAUGUUGCACUACUUGGUAGACAAAAUGUUGUCUCCCCCUUCCCUGCAAAGAUGUCCAUGUCUGAAUCCCUAGAAUCUGUGAAUCUAUUAGAUUACAUAGCAAGGGAGAAUUAAUAUUAUAGGUGGGAUUAUGGUUGCUAAUUAGUUGAUCUUAAAAUAGGACCAUCCUGAUUAUAUUGAUGAACCUAGUGGGUCACAAAGGUCAUUUAAAUGUGGAAGAAGGAGGCAGAAGAUUUAGAGCCUGAGUCAGAAAAGAUGUGAUAACAGAAGCAAGGUUAGAAGCAAUAUGAUGUGAAUACUCAGUGCACCAUUACUAGCUUUGAAGAUAGAAGCAGCAGGCCACUAACCAAAGAAUGUAGGCAUCUUCUAGGAGCAGGAAAAGGCAAGGAAAUAGAUUCUCCUGUAGAGCCUUUAUAAAGGAAUGCAGCCCUGCCAAUACCUUCAUUUUAAUCCAGUGAGACCCAUAUCUAAAACAGUAAGAUAAUAAAUUUAAGUUGUAUUAAGACACUAAACCGAUGACAAUUUGUUACAGCAGCAAUAGGAAACUAAUACACUGCCAAUCCCCAAAUUCUGUUUUUAUCUGAAAUGUGUUAAGUGUCACAGUAGUUACAUAUCUUCAUGACACAGAAAAAUGAAGGUCAAUGUUUAAGAGAUGGCAUCUUCCUCAAUCUAUAGUCAAUAGAUUUUAGAGUGUGGUUGCUAUAGUUUAGGGGUCUCUGUUUUCUGCGUAAACAGCAAAAAAGAGAAAAAGCAUCUUUCUAUGUUCUUUCAUUUGUGUGAAGCUGAUUCAUUGUUUUUAUUUCAGCAUAUUAUGGGGGUAUAAAUGUUUAGGUUAUGUAUAUUGCCCAUGCCCUGCCCCCUACCAUCCAGUCAGAGCUUUAAUCAUGUCCAUCCUCCAGACGGUGCACAUCACACUCAUUAUGUAUGUGUAUGAUGUGAAAGUGUGACUGGAUUUUUUUUUCUUCAUGAAAUUCUUAGACAUUAUAAAUAGGUAAACUACUCAUAUAAUAGCAAUAAUUUUAUUUUCAAAACAGUAAAUUUUUAUGAUUUUGUCUCCAUUUUUUAUAGGUAUUUUGGUGGGAAUUUGGAAAAGCCUGGCAGAAACUGUUUUCAUGUUAUAACAAUACAAUUAAAAAUUGACUAUUUCACACAAAACCUAUUGGAGUAGUAUGUUAGGUAACAUCCACAUGUGCCUAUGGAUUUGUAUAAGCAUAUAUUUAAUCAUGAAAACUCUAGCAAACUAAUUUGCAUCAGUAUGUAAUCAGUGUCAGGUUUAUUCUAGUUGAGAUUCUGAAUUAGAUAAAAUUAGUACAUAAAUUUCGACUUAAGAGUGUUUGUAAGUUGCGUUAUCUCUUUUGAGAUACUGAGACAUUAUUAUAUACUUGUGUAGAAAACAAUUUAAAAAUUCUGAUUUUUUAUGUCUCUUUACCUUUAAAAAGGCUACAACAUACUCUUUCUGAAACACUUUCUUAUUCUAUUUGUGUUUCUUUCUCUCUCUUGUCUUCAUUUAUUAAGCACCUUAUGAGCAACUUGGGCAUGGUCCAUCACCUCUAGAUAUUUUUGUGGAGGGCAUCCAUCAGUUACAUUAUUCUGAUUAAAUAUGUGUUUGGAGAUUGGAAAAAGAAAGUGUUCCUUAUUAUUUCUAAUGCUUCCUUUCCCCCCUUAUCCCUUGUGUUUAAGAACAGAAUGAGGUUCUGAUGCUGCUUAGAUCACUUUUAUUUUCUCUUUUUAAAAAAGGUAGAAAAGUAUAAGCAUUUUUGAUAAUAAUAAUGUUGUAUCUAUAGAAAAGGAAUGUGGUUUUUAAAAAUUAUGUCAAAAUGAAUUCUAAUGUUAUAAUAUUUUGGUUUGUGUUAUUGAUUGAUUAGUAGCCCAUUCAGCUAUAACUUUGAUUUUAUCAAUGACUCAUAAGCUUUGCCCUUUCUACAGUCACUGGCAGCAUAGUUGAAUUUUGAAGGACUAUUUCUGGCUUUGCUGACAUUUGUAGUGACCACAAUUCCUUUCAGUUAUUUGCUUCCUUUGAUAAUACUUUCUUUAUUGGCUCAAUGGUGAAAAAUGUCUUCACUAUUCAUAUUCAAGUACUAUGAGCACAGAAAAACUGAGACAUUGGAGCAAUUGAGCACUUAACAUGCUUAAUUAAAUAUAAGGGUAAAUGAUGCACUUAAGUUUUAAAUUAAAUUUUACAUUCAUGGGUUCAGCAGGGUCUUCUUCCAACUUAAGAGUGAUGCAUAAAUCCUGUGUCUGCAAUUACUGAAAUACAAAAAUACCAAAUAACUCCCCAAAAGAUCAAAAGAAGAAAGGAGACAACUUGGCCUUAAGUUGAUUUAUGUUUUUGAACCAGACAUGAAUAAACAGAAGUAGUAAUUAUAGUUCAUAGAUUAUUCAAAACAAAGUAAACAUUAUUUAUUAUUGCUCUCCAAUUAUGCAUUUUUAAAAUUUAUUGCCUACUGAUUAUUUUGCAAUCCUGACUCAUUAGUAUACUUAGACUAGUUCUUGUAUUAAAACCAAUUAAAAUGUAUGAAUUAAAUUUUAAUUUUCAUUCUAUUUCAACUGCAUUAAUGUUCUGAAAAAUCUUUAUAUUUCCCCUUAAAAUAAAGCAUACUAACCUCAGCUAUCAAAUACUGAUUAGUAGAGUAUAAUUUUUUUCACCACUUUAUGAAUUGUCUAAUUACAUAUCAAUUUUUUCCAUAUUAUAUUAUUGGUAAAAAUGCAAAUAAUAUUUUAAUGCAUUGCAAUUUAUGGAAAUUUGUUAUUAACUAUGGCUAUCUUAUCUAUAAAACUUAAUAAUAGAAUGUCAGUCUAGUGCUAAAACACAAAUCUCUGUAAAUAAAUAUUCGUAUGUUGGAAGUGAAGAUAUUUUUCUUUUUUGAAUGGACCCAGCAUUAAACUCAUAAAACAUAUUUCUUUUGUUAAAGCAAACAAUAUUAAUGCUGCUUGUUAAAGAUGUUAAGGCAGACUUUAUCCAAGAAGGGCAGCAGGACUAUUGUCAAAGGAAUGGAGACCAUUGCAAUGGGAUUUUGUGGUGGGAGAGAGAGAUUGGGCUCCACUUGGAAUAUAGCAUGAACAUGUGGAAAUUUGUAGCCAAAGAGUAAAGUUGUUAUCAGUGGAUGGAAAAUUACCAAGAGGAAUCAUCGUGGGCUAGGGGAGAUUUUGGCUAAACCCAGGUAACAAGAUUCUUGCUGGAGGCAGGCCAGAGUGAUCAGACAUCACCUGGAGGAUGGUGGGGAUGAGGAAGCCAAUCAGAUGUCUAGGGUGAUCAGAUAACAAGGGUUGGGGCUCUUGCUGAACAGAUUUAUCAGGGCUCUCACUAAAACUUGAUUUUAUAAAGAAUUGCACAUAUGGGCAUAAGACAAUGUUCAGGAGCCAACUAAAGUUUAGUUAAAGAAUCUCUGUGACUUAGUGAAUAAAAAAUGUAAAUUAUCUCUAUAAGGAGGCAAAGGACAAAUAUCACAUUUCUUAAUUUCAAACCAUAAAUUAACUCUGAUUACUUUGAAUAAAAUAGUCAUUGUUAGAAAGGUGUCUGCAAGAUCAUGGAAUUUAAGAGUAUGCUGUAGAACUAGGCUUGAAUGAGGAUCACUGUGAGCAGGACAACCCGGAGAAAUUGCCUGAUUAGAACAUUCCACUAAUUCUAUCUUCAAUUCUUCUUGUUGCCAUUGCUGCCUCUGUAUACUUGACUUCAACACAGCUGGCACAAAUAAUCUCUAAUUUGACUCUGUAUCUUUGCAUAGCUUUCUAAGAUUUCAAAGUUCAGCGCCUCAGCCAGCAGAAUCCUGGUGGUCAUUCUUGGGCCAACUCCCUAUUCUCUACCUGCUAAGGACAGGGGAAAAGGAUUAUCUUCCUUCCUUAAAUCUAUAUCUCAGGCCAUCUCCUUCAGGUGAAAUGGACAACCAAAUGUAUUGUUUGAAAUUCUACAUACUGGGAAGAUUCUUUCUCUACUGCUUUUUAAAGCUACCUAAAAAAAAUAUGGUGGUAAAUAUAGUAAUACUGCUGUCUGCAUUUGGAUAGUGUCAACAUGUGGCAUCAUCUAUAAACUGGGUUUGAAUUUGGGGACUCAUUGGGCCAUGUUGUGAUUUGAGAGAGAGACAAAAAUGCAGCAAAAAUAGAUGGAACUGAGAGUGUGAGUCAGUUCCUCAUGCAACUUACCUGUGCCUGUAGAACAUUCGUGUAUUCUAUUAAUAUAUCACUCCUACUUGUUGAAGUAUUAUUGGUGUAGGGCAGAAGAAAUAUUUUUCCCAUCUUAGGUUCAUUGACUUGGGCCCUUCUAACAAAAGACAGAUUAACAAGAGACUAGCAUACAAAUUUACUUAAUAUCAAAUUUAAAUGACAUGAGAGCUGUUAUAAAGACAUGAAGACUGAAGGAGGAGCUAAACCUAAGUAGGUUUUGUUUUGUUUUGUUUUUAGUAGAUUUGAUGAAAAGUUGAGAAUCAUGGACCAAUAUCACAGGACAAAGGUGGUAUGAGCUAAUAGACUGGGGGACAUUUAGCAAAGCUCAUUCAUUCAGAUUCCCGUGUCCCUGUGUUUCCAGAGAUAAUGAUACUCCUUCCUUCCAGGUAUAGGGAGGGCACCUCUCACUCAGAGGGUCUUAUGACCUUUUGAGGAGAAAGUCAGAAAAUCCUUCCUAGGUUUUAUGACCUGUUUCAGGGGAAAGGGACAGGGGAAAGUCAUAGAGAAUUUUUUUGCAUUUGCUAUUUCUCAAAUUCAUUCCACUUAAAAUAUUCAAUAUAUCAGAGUGUCAUAUUUUAGGGUACCAUGUCCUGAACCCCAUCUCUGGUCAUGACUAUGUUUAUGGCAAGUGAAUCUUACAACACCUGAUGAUGGAUAGCUUAGCUCACAUAGUUCUUGAUUGAAUCUCUGCUGAACAAAGAAACCAAGAACUGAUAAUUAAUCAAAACUAUUUACUUGCCAUGGGGGAUGUAGCUUUAGUUUGAUAUUUAGGUUAUACUUAAGAUUCUUUCUUACAUGCACAGCUUUGUAUUUUGGUACAGAUAUUCACUGUGGAAUUACCAGUAGAUAACAAGGAUUGAGUUGUGAGUUCUGCUACCAUCACAGCCUGGACCAGCUGAAGAAGUUUCUCUUGCUCUAGUAUCCUCAUGAUGGCCUGCUUUCCAAAUGAUAUAACCAAUAUUAUGCCAAAUAAGAGUUUAAAGAAUUAAAAAAUAACAUUAAAAGGCCUAAACAAUCUUAAUGAUUUAAAAAUCUAACAGCAUACAUUUUAUUUUAGUAAUUAUUAAUUUACUAGCUGGCAUUAGCCAAUUACUUAUCCUUAUAUCCUUAUCAUUAAAGUGGGUUUUCUUGUCAUGCUUCCUGAUGCUGUCAGGAUUUCCUGUUUAAUCACUGAAAAAUAUUGUGGCAAGUUCUGUGGGUUUUACUAUGUUUUUUUUUUUUCUGUUGAUUCAUGUCAUACAGAAAAUAGAAAUUUGAAAGCUGUGUUUAUAUUGAUCAGACAUUUCUGAGUAGGUCAGUUCUGAGUAAGAGAAAAAACUGAACAAAUUGGCCUGACUUAGCUUGAGUAGCUACUUUUAAUCUACACUAAAUAAAAUGAUGUCUUCAGGAACUGUUGUAUACAUUUUUAUAUGUAUGUUCUCUUUAUUCAUUUUUAUAAAUAAAAUUAUAUUUUCUUCAGAAUUGUAAUUUUUCCCUUAAAUUAACUCCUUUUGCAUUUUUCCCAUGACACAUUGAAACUACACUAAAUUUAUGUUAAUAUCAUAAACCCUAUAGAAAUUAGUUAAACAUAAGAGAACUUUAAAGGAAAAAUAUUGAGGGAGAUGCCCCUGGGGUUUUAUUGACAUAUCAGUAGGGAGCAGAGUUUUUCAUAACCAUGUAUCAGAAUGACUGCCCUUCUCUAUUGGAUAAAUUAAUUCUGUAAUGGGGCUGGAGAGAAGAGACAUGUCCCGCUGAGCUAGAAAGUGUAGAUGUGGAGAAAAUUAAGAGUUUGCCUCUUUGCGAGUGAAAUUAGUGGUUUUACAAUAUGUAGUUGGUCAAACAUAAAGAUAAAAAUACUUGUUUGGGUAACACAAAUAGAUACUAGCUAUUAGUAUCAAUCCAGUGUUAAUUAUCCCUUACGGACAAAGAAGAGCCAUUCGAAAUGUGAAGUCAAAAUUUAGAGCUAAUUAGAGAAUACCACUGGGAAAUUUGUAAAGUAUAAGUAAAAGGGGAAGGGUUUUAUGACUGCCCACUAUAAAUGAGAGUUCUUGUCAGAAUCUAAAAUUUAAUCUGAGAAAUGAAGAAUAAAAUGGGGCAUCUAAUGAAAUCUUAUUGAGACAUAUGUCUGACUUCUAUGAUGUAUUUCUGGGAUGAGAUAACUUCAGUUUUAUGUUAAAUAGCAAAAACAAUUUCUAUAAAGUAAACAGGAACAUUAAUUAUAUUAUCAUUCCAAAUUAUAGAACUAACUUCAGGUAUUCAAGCUUCAUGACAACAUCUUAAUGCAUCUAUUUAAAUGUUUCUGGAAAAUGAGGCAAAGGGUAAUACACUUUGUUAUAGCUUUAUUUACUCAAUUUUCAAAUUACCUUUUUCUCCAGAAAUAUUGCUGUUAUUUAAAAAGUAUCAUUUGAAAUAUAUUUAUUGGACACAAGCUCUUUCUGAUCGUAUGCUUUUUUUAUUUUUUCAUCCAGCUUAACACCACAAGUCUUCAGCUGAGUGAAACUUAUAUGUAACAUUUCAUACGACCAAGUUAACAUCAACAUCAAUAGCAAUAACACAGCAACAGCCAACAUUUAUUGAACUUUUUACUAAGUUCCAGUCACUGUGUGAGUGCUUUACAGGAGCCCUUCACUUCUCACAACAAUCGCAUGAAGUGAUCUCUGUGGAAAUGGAGACUCAGAGAAAUGGAGUCAGUUGUAAGUUAGCCAAAGUCAUACAAACUGCUGUCAGUCCAAGGAUCAAAAGCAGUCUGACUCCAGAGUCACUAUUCUUUUAAAAUCAAGAUUGACUUUUUAUUUUCUGUUUCAGAACACUUGUAACAAACCAUCCUAAAACUUAGUGGUUCUAUAAUAAAAAAAACAGUACCAUUUACUAUUGCUUAUAAUAUUUUGGACACAAUUGGGUGGAUCUUCUGCUUCACAUGGGGCUAGCUGGGGCCAUAGUCAGCUGGAGUUUCCACUGGACUGGGUCAUACAAGAUGGCUCAUUCAACAUGGCCGGUAGUUGGUGCCAGCUGUUGGCUGGAUGCUUAGCCGGGCUGUCAGUGGGAGCAUGUUAGCUAUCCUAGAGCUGUCCUAUGUGCCUUGAAUUUUCUGUGCAUGGUGGGCAAGUUCUAAGAGGAAACUUUCUGAACUAUAUAAGAAAAACUGGAGAUCCCUUAAGACUCAGCCUCAUAAGAUACAUAGUCACUUCUGUUGUGUUCUAGUGAUCAAGGAAAGUUGUGGGUACAGCCCAGACUAAAUGGGAAAGGAAAUGGACUCCACCUCUUUUUAGAAGAUAUGGCCAAGAAUAUGUGGUCAUUUUAACUUACCAUGCCGUUAGGCCGGGCGCGGUGGCUCACGCCUGUAAUCCUAGUUCUCUGGGAGGCCGAGGCGGGCGGAUUGCUCG
Non-coding RNA from Microcebus murinus (gray mouse lemur), 8783 nucleotides. The record is from RefSeq and is a predicted model, not a curated record. NCBI's taxonomy places the organism in Eukaryota, Metazoa, Chordata, Mammalia, Primates, Cheirogaleidae.